RNAcentral lists this ribosomal RNA (647 nucleotides) under Trichoderma lixii. RNAcentral describes it as "eukaryotic LSU rRNA". The stretch from base 260 to 413 matches the Rfam family "5.8S ribosomal RNA". Lineage: Eukaryota; Fungi; Ascomycota; Sordariomycetes; Hypocreales; Hypocreaceae. The record is from RNAcentral.
UGGAAGUAAAAGUCGUAACAAGGUCUCCGUUGGUGAACCAGCGGAGGGAUCAUUACCGAGUUUACAACUCCCAAACCCAAUGUGAACGUUACCAAACUGUUGCCUCGGCGGGAUCUCUGCCCCGGGUGCGUCGCAGCCCCGGACCAAGGCGCCCGCCGGAGGACCAACCUAAAACUCUUAUUGUAUACCCCCUCGCGGGUUUUUUUUAUAAUCUGAGCCUUUCUCGGCGCCUCUCGUAGGCGUUUCGAAAAUGAAUCAAAACUUUCAACAACGGAUCUCUUGGUUCUGGCAUCGAUGAAGAACGCAGCGAAAUGCGAUAAGUAAUGUGAAUUGCAGAAUUCAGUGAAUCAUCGAAUCUUUGAACGCACAUUGCGCCCGCCAGUAUUCUGGCGGGCAUGCCUGUCCGAGCGUCAUUUCAACCCUCGAACCCCUCCGGGGGGUCGGCGUUGGGGAUCGGCCCUCCCUUAGCGGGUGGCCGUCUCCGAAAUACAGUGGCGGUCUCGCCGCAGCCUCUCCUGCGCAGUAGUUUGCACACUCGCAUCGGGAGCGCGGCGCGUCCACAGCCGUUAAACACCCAACUUCUGAAAUGUUGACCUCGGAUCAGGUAGGAAUACCCGCUGAACUUAAGCAUAUCAAUAAGCGGAGGA